RNAcentral lists this ribosomal RNA (527 nucleotides) under Dechloromonas sp. enrichment culture. RNAcentral's name for it is "bacterial SSU rRNA". It matches the Rfam family "Bacterial small subunit ribosomal RNA", at positions 355 to 873 of the family's 1533-position model. Lineage: Bacteria; Pseudomonadati; Pseudomonadota; Betaproteobacteria; Rhodocyclales; Azonexaceae. The record is from RNAcentral.
UGGGGAAUUUUGGACAAUGGGGGCAACCCUGAUCCAGCCAUGCCGCGUGAGUGAAGAAGGCCUUCGGGUUGUAAAGCUCUUUCGGCCGGGAAGAAAUCGCAUAGGUUAAUACCCUGUGUGGAUGACGGUACCGGAAUAAGAAGCACCGGCUAACUACGUGCCAGCAGCCGCGGUAAUACGUAGGGUGCGAGCGUUAAUCGGAAUUACUGGGCGUAAAGCGUGCGCAGGCGGUUUCGUAAGACAGAGGUGAAAUCCCCGGGCUCAACCUGGGAACUGCCUUUGUGACUGCGAAGCUAGAGUACGGCAGAGGGGGGUGGAAUUCCACGUGUAGCAGUGAAAUGCGUAGAGAUGUGGAGGAACACCGAUGGCGAAGGCAGCCCCCUGGGCCGAUACUGACGCUCAUGCACGAAAGCGUGGGUAGCAAACAGGAUUAGAUACCCUGGUAGUCCACGCCCUAAACGAUGUCAACUAGGUGUUGGGUGGGUAAAACCAUUUAGUACCGUAGCUAACGCGUGAAGUUGACCGCC